Molecule: non-coding RNA, 269 nt
Organism: Ammonifex degensii KC4
Lineage: Bacteria; Bacillati; Bacillota; Clostridia; Thermoanaerobacterales; Thermoanaerobacteraceae
Rfam family: HNH endonuclease-associated RNA and ORF (HEARO) RNA
Source: Rfam
GUCAUAGACCCCACGGCUGAAGCCGGGGGCUUGUCCUCCAGGUUUCGGCCGUAGGCCACGAGGCCUCGCUAUGAUCAGCCUCAGAGGCCUGACCCGAAGGACAAGGGGAUGAAGGCCCUACGUUACCGGGGAGAGCCAGAGUUCGCACUCCGGGAUGCUCCUCCAGUCCCGAGACCCUGCAACCCGGCGGUUAAACAGCGAGCUGGGGGUGCAGCGAGCGGUGCCGCCGGGAGGAGGCCGCCCGGUAACAUUGGCGAGGAGGGAGGCUG